AAACAAGCAUGUCAAUACCGAACUAAAAAGAAAGAAAAGAAAGAACAUAUAAACACAAUAAUAUAAACACAAUCAUAUAAGAGAAAAGAAAGAACAUAAUUCCAAUAAACAAUGCCAAAUAAUGACAACACAUUUCUCCUACAAGAUUGGAACCCAAAUCUAGAUUUGAAAAUAUGAGCAAAUCAAGGCAACGAAACUGAUAAAUCAAACUUAUCUUCAUAAUACAGUCUCAAGUGAACAGAAAGAACACGAUGCUCGAAAGGACAAAUAAAUCACUCAGAACCAAGCUCUCAUCAACAGUGUAUCAGUCCACUUUUAUGAAAGAAAUAAAGAACAUACACACGAGUCCAAAUUCAACGGCUGAAUGUUCGUUCUUUUAUAAUCAAGAACUAAGCAGAUUAUAUAUGAUACAAACAAAGCAAUAAAGUUCUGCUAAUAUAAGCUUCAAAAAGAGUAAAUUAAACUUCAUUGUAGACUAAUUAGUUUCAAUGACCAACACUUCAAAAAGUUCAGCACAAUCUUGACAGGAAUCAUAAAAUGGCAGAAUUCACAGUAGCAAUUUUAAAGAAAAACAAAUCCCUCAGGUACUUCAUUUCUCAUCAAUAAUGAUCAGGCUACUUUUAACGUCAAAAUGUACUGAGAAAUUCAUCAUAGGGAUGAAGGGAAAUAAAUGGUUAAACGAAUACUUCAAAAACACAUAACUACAUUUAAGCGUUUCUGAAUGAAAAGAAGAGCUAAAACGAACCCCUCAGAGUUUAAAUUUAUCCUCAAUGCAUAAUAUUCAGUCCACUACUUUUAACAUUGAUUGAAAACAUUCUUCAUAGGGGCGGACGGUGACUAGUAAAAUUAGAUUUCGGAUCCAUAAUAUGCCCAAAGAAAUCAACUUCUAAAGCACGAUAAACAAAUUGAUUCAGAGUAUAACAAUACUCAGUAACCAAAUCUAUUCUAGAAAUGACUAAACGAGAGCACAAACA
Long non-coding RNA from Ipomoea nil (Japanese morning glory), 974 nucleotides. RefSeq lists it as uncharacterized. Lineage: Eukaryota; Viridiplantae; Streptophyta; Magnoliopsida; Solanales; Convolvulaceae. The record is from RefSeq and is a predicted model, not a curated record. The transcript is spliced from 2 exons.